RNAcentral lists this ribosomal RNA (253 nucleotides) under uncultured bacterium. Its description in RNAcentral is "partial 16S ribosomal RNA". It matches the Rfam family "Bacterial small subunit ribosomal RNA", at positions 524 to 776 of the family's 1533-position model. The record is from RNAcentral.
CACGUAGGCACCAAGCGUUGUCCGGAUUUAUUGGGCGUAAAGAGCGUGUAGGCGGCCAAGCAGGUCCGCUGUGAAAACUCGAGGCUCAACCUCGAGACGUCGGUGGAAACCGUUUGGCUAGAGUCCGGAAGAGGAGAGUGGAAUUCCCGGUGUAGCGGUGAAAUGCGCAGAUAUCGGGAAGAACACCCGUGGCGAAGGCGGCUCUCUGGGACGGUACUGACGCUGAGACGCGAAAGCGUGGGGAGCGAACAGG